AGAGUUUGAUCAUGGCUCAGGAUGAACGUUGGCUGUGUGCCUAAGGUAUGCAAGUCGAACGAUUCUUUAUGAAAUUUCUGAAACUUCGGUUGAUGAUUUUUCGCUUAGAAUAGUGACAAACGGGUGAGUAACAUGUGGAUAAUCUGCCUCAAAGUCGUGAACAGCUCGCCGAAAGGCGGGGUAAUACUCGAUAGUCUUGUUCUUUCAUAAUGUUUGAACAAGUAAAGCUCAGGCGCUUUGGGAUGAGUCCGCAUCCUAUCAGCUUGUUGGUGAGGUAAAAGCUCACCAAGGCUAAGACGGGUGGCUGGCGUGAGAGCGCGGUCAGCCACCAUGGAACUGAGACACGGUCCAUACUCCUACGGGAGGCAGCAAUUAGGAAUCUUGCACAAUGGGGGCAACCCUGAUGCAGCGACACAGCGUGGAGGAUGAAGGUCUUCGGAUUGUAAACUCCUUUUAUAUGGGACGAAUAGAUGACGGUACCAUACGAAUAAGUACCUGCUAACUACGUGCCAGAAGCAUCGGUGAUGCGUAGGGUACGAACGUUAUCCGGAUUAAUUGGGCGUAUAGAGAAGCGUAGGCGUUUUUGUUAGUCUUUAGUUAAAUACCACGGCCUAACCGUGGGAAAGCUAUAGAUACUGCAGAAAUUGAGACAGGAAUGGGCGAAUGGAAUUCCCAGUGGAGCAGUGAAAUGCGUUGAUAUUGGGAGGAACAUCAGUGGCGAAGGCGAUUCGCUGGUCCUUGUCUGACGCUAAGGCUCGAAAGCGUGGGUAGCAAAACGGAUUAGAUACCCGUGUAGUCCACGCCGUAAACAAUGGAUGCUAGGUGUUUGGUACAACUACCUAAUCCUUCGGGAUUGGAUGGAAGUAUUGAGUGCCGCAGCUAACGCGUUAAGCAUCCCGCCUGGGAAGUACGGCCGCAAGGCUAAAACUCAAAUGAAUUGACGG
Molecule: ribosomal RNA, 944 nt
Filed under: bacterium enrichment culture clone L35B_130
Lineage: Bacteria
Description: bacterial SSU rRNA
Rfam family: Bacterial small subunit ribosomal RNA
Source: RNAcentral